This 1361-nucleotide ribosomal RNA is filed under the name uncultured bacterium. RNAcentral's name for it is "bacterial SSU rRNA". It matches the Rfam family "Bacterial small subunit ribosomal RNA", at positions 28 to 1381 of the family's 1533-position model. The record is from RNAcentral.
AUUGAACGCUGGCGGCAGGCCUAACACAUGCAAGUCGAGCGGUAGCACAGAGAGCUUGCUCUCGGGUGACGAGCGGCGGACGGGUGAGUAAUGUCUGGGAAACUGCCUGAUGGAGGGGGAUAACUACUGGAAACGGUAGCUAAUACCGCAUAACGUCGCAAGACCAAAGUGGGGGACCUUCGGGCCUCAUGCCAUCAGAUGUGCCCAGAUGGGAUUAGCUAGUAGGUGGGGUAAUGGCUCACCUAGGCGACGAUCCCUAGCUGGUCUGAGAGGAUGACCAGCCACACUGGAACUGAGACACGGUCCAGACUCCUACGGGAGGCAGCAGUGGGGAAUAUUGCACAAUGGGCGCAAGCCUGAUGCAGCCAUGCCGCGUGUGUGAAGAAGGCCUUCGGGUUGUAAAGCACUUUCAGCGGGGAGGAAGGCGAUAAGGUUAAUAACCUUGUCGAUUGACGUUACCCGCAGAAGAAGCACCGGCUAACUCCGUGCUAGCAGCCGCGGUAAUACGGAGGGUGCAAGCGUUAAUCGGAAUUACUGGGCGUAAAGCGCACGCAGGCGGUCUGUCAAGUCGGAUGUGAAAUCCCCGGGCUCAACCUGGGAACUGCAUUCGAAACUGGCAGGCUAGAGUCUUGUAGAGGGGGGUGGAAUUCCAGGUGUAGCGGUGAAAUGCGUAGAGAUCUGGAGGAAUACCGGUGGCGAAGGCGGCCCCCUGGACAAAGACUGACGCUCAGGUGCGAAAGCGUGGGGAGCAAACAGGAUUAGAUACCCUGGUAGUCCACGCCGUAAACGAUGUCGAUUUGGAGGUUGUGCCCUUGAGGCGUGGCUUCCGGAGCUAACGCGUUAAAUCGACCGCCUGGGGAGUACGGCCGCAAGGUUAAAACUCAAAUGAAUUGACGGGGGCCCGCACAAGCGGUGGAGCAUGUGGUUUAAUUCGAUGCAACGCGAAGAACCUUACCUGGUCUUGACAUCCACAGAACUUUCCAGAGAUGGAUUGGUGCCUUCGGGAACUGUGAGACAGGUGCUGCAUGGCUGUCGUCAGCUCGUGUUGUGAAAUGUUGGGUUAAGUCCCGCAACGAGCGCAACCCUUAUCCUUUGUUGCCAGCGGUUAGGCCGGGAACUCAAAGGAGACUGCCAGUGAUAAACUGGAGGAAGGUGGGGAUGACGUCAAGUCAUCAUGGCCCUUACGACCAGGGCUACACACGUGCUACAAUGGCAUAUACAAAGAGAAGCGACCUCGCGAGAGCAAGCGGACCUCAUAAAGUAUGUCGUAGUCCGGAUUGGAGUCUGCAACUCGACUCCAUGAAGUCGGAAUCGCUAGUAAUCGUAGAUCAGAAUGCUACGGUGAAUACGUUCCCGGGCCU